AAACUAUUCGAAUAGCCGUGCCCGCGGUUAUGGGCGGGUCUAACAAUGUCUUUCGUGAUUAGUUUCACACUUCUUACCAUAAUAAAAGAUGCUAUAACUGUAAUAAUUUGUUUAGCUCCUGGUUUGGAAUGGUAUAUUCCUGGUUUGGAGAUAGAUCUGCACAGCCGGGUAUGGUUGUUCAGGAUGGUUGGGC
This 193-nucleotide unclassified non-coding RNA is filed under the name Oryza sativa (Asian cultivated rice). RNAcentral's name for it is "partial microRNA MIR470e-4 precursor". Lineage: Eukaryota; Viridiplantae; Streptophyta; Magnoliopsida; Poales; Poaceae. The record is from RNAcentral.